UACGUAGGGGGCAAGCGUUGUUCGGAAUCACUGGGCGUAAAGGGCGUACAGGCGGCCAUAUAAGUCGGUUGUGAAAUUCUCGGGCUUAACCUUAGAUCUGCACUCGAUACUGUAUGGCUUGAGAUCAGGAGAGGAGAGUGGAAUAUGUGGUGUAGCGGUGAAAUGCGUAGAUAUCACAUAGAACACCGGUGGCGAAGGCGGCUCUCUGGCCUGAUUCUGACGCUGACGCGCGAAAGCUAGGGUAGCGAACGGGAUUAGAUACCCCCGUA
This 269-nucleotide ribosomal RNA is filed under the name uncultured prokaryote. RNAcentral describes it as "partial 16S ribosomal RNA". It matches the Rfam family "Bacterial small subunit ribosomal RNA", at positions 524 to 792 of the family's 1533-position model. The record is from RNAcentral.